UAGCCCUUUGAAAAUAAAUAAAGGGUCCCGCCUGCCCAGUGGCUUAAAGCUAAACGGCCGCGGUAUCUUGACCGUGCAAAGGUAGCAUAAUCAUUUGUCUUUUAAAUGGAGACUCGUAUGAACGGCAAAACCUUUUCUAACUGUCUCUCCUUCUGCCCUUCUAAAUUUCUAUCUAUGUGAAGAAGCAUAGAUACCAGAGAAAGACGAGAAGACCCUGUCGAGCUUCAGCCAGUAAGUGAAUGAGAAUAAUUAUUUCAACCAUAUCACCUAAAGGCUUUGGUUGGGGCAACCAUGGAGAAAAAAAAUCCUCCAGAACCAAUAAAAGAAAACUACUCUUUAUUUAUAUACUCAGUUAAAGAACCAGAAACUGGAAAACGGAAAAAGUUACCGCAGGGAUAACAGCGUAAUCCCCUCUAAGAGUCCUUAUUGACGAGGGGGCUUGCGACCUCGAUGUUGGAUUGGGGCCUCCUUUGGGUGCAGAAGCUCUAAACGGUUAGACUGUUCGUCUAUUAAAGCCCU
Molecule: ribosomal RNA, 519 nt
Filed under: Holothuria pluricuriosa
Lineage: Eukaryota; Metazoa; Echinodermata; Holothuroidea; Aspidochirotida; Holothuriidae
Description: partial 16S ribosomal RNA
Rfam family: Bacterial large subunit ribosomal RNA
Source: RNAcentral